UGCAUGCCCUAGAACAGUUCUUCGUGUUCAUCUCAUCGUUAAUCUGUAGAUAAUUAAAUUUGAAUCUUUGAUGUCAGUGCCAGCUGCAGGAGCCCAACAGGACACUCCUAGCUUUGUGAUUUGUUUCGGAACUGACAUCUAGGUCACCGUACCUUUGCAGGCGCUCACACUAUCGGACAGGCGAGGUGCACGACCUUCCGGGACCACAUCACCGAGCCCAACAUCAACCCCACCUUCGCGGCGUCGCUCAGGGCCAACUGCCCCGCGACAGGCGGCGACGACAACCUGGCGCCGCUGGACGUCACGACGCCCAACAGUUUCGACAACGCCUACUUCAGCAACCUGAUGUCGCAAAGGGGUCUCCUGCACUCGGACCAGGAGCUCUUCAACAACGGCAGCACCGACAACAUCGUCAGGAACUUCGCGUCCAACGCAGCGGCGUUCAGCAGCGCCUUCGCCACGGCCAUGGUGAAGAUGGGCAACCUUCAGCCGCUGACCGGGACCAAUGGGCAGAUCAGGCGCCUCUGCUGGAGGGUCAACUCGUAAGACUACUACAGAGUCACAGACGAUGAGGGUCGUUGGCAGCGCCAGGCGUAUGCCAAUGUGCUAGCCGCAUAAACGAAUAAGGUCGUGCACGCACAACCAACAAGGAUACAUAUACAUGUGUCAAUGUGGGUCAAGUGGUGUGCACCAUGCAGCUCGCUUUCUUGUUCCACAAGGUGUAUGGAACGGAGAGAGCGCAUGCUUGGCGUGUACCUACAUAUGUAAUGAGUUCUCAUGCAAAGGCAUUGGGAGAUUAAUUAAGCGAUAUUUUUCUAGAAAUCCUUUUUUUUCAAAAGUUUCUACAUUUUGAAAAAAAAAUGCUUUUAAAACAAAAUGUUUUUUAUAAAAGUGUUUUUUCAAACGGUUAAGGAUUAUUGUUGGUCUUCACAAUUUUUAUUAAGUGGCAAAGAGUUUUCUAGUUCAAUUUGGACAUUUCUUGAGAGGAAAAAAAUUAGCAAACCAAUAAACCCUAGCCCAACAUUUCAAAAAAAAGUAAUCAACCACUUCAUAAAUAACUCCUGACAAUUACUUCAAUUAAGUUAAAAAAGUGUUGGCUAUUUGAGAAAAUUAUAAAAAAGAUCAAUAACCUCCGGCCAUUCACACAUACACUCUGGGAAUCAUGAAAAAUCUUAUAGUGUUUGGGCAAAUGGUCCAUGUUGUCAAUCCAUAUCCUAUAUUAAAAUAUGAAGUUAUUCAAUAAGGAAAAAAUGCUAUCAGUUUGGCUCGGGCCAGCUGCCAGCUGGAGCUGACAAGAAAGUUCAAAAAUAUAUAAUUCGUUAAACAUCAGCUAAUCUUGUCAGGGCUUUCACAAGUGGGAAAUGACUGCACAACGGUCAGAGCAAGGUGGAAUAAUUGUCUUCGACGAAUGCUGACAUCUUUGUUAACAACGACACCAGCGUCAACUUUGUCGGGCCCGCCUUCCUUCUAAUCCAGGCAAUGGAGAGAAGUCCAACCCCUAACCCCAACUCCGAACCCUAACCCACCAACCCUGAACCCUAACCUCACACAAGACCUCGCCGGACGUGGAGAAGAAGCUCAUACGGCCUUUGCAUUAGUGAGAGGACGAAGAAGGAAAAAUCAGAUGUGAUAAAGAAAGGAAACACUCGAAGUUUAAUGUUUAAUGUAGUUCGCAUUUCGAAGCACUCGGAGAAAACAUAUUAUUUUGAUUCCUGAAGUUGGUUGUUAUUAAAAGGGAGAAUGCUAUAUCCCUGCUAGCCCAUGUGUUCUAAGAUCUGACGCCCAGUCCGUAAACUAGCAGCCAGCAUAUUUCCAAACACACACUUCCAUAAUAAUCUGAACAACUAAUUAUCAAGGGUAACUUAGUAGGUUCAUGACCGAGAACCAUAUAUGGCCAUCUGGUACAAAACUGGCGCGUGAGGUCCAUGUGCAUUAGCACCUUUAUAAGGAAAGCAUUCCCUAAACCCACCUACGAGUUCGCAUACUAUUCACUGGGCCAUCUACAUGAUUGGCUGCACCACUGCAGAGAGUGUGUGCUGGGCUGCUGGCCAUAGCAAUUGUUUCGAAUUGGCCAGAGGGUUGCUGGUUUGCAUUGGAUGCUUGCAUACAAAAUUGCAUUCAUGAAUUCAGCCUAACCUGCCUUGUAUUCUAAUGUAUCACAUGUAUGCCGGAUCGAGUGGCUAGCUGUACCUGCACUGCAUGACGAAAAUGGUUGCUGGCAUUCAGCGGCUAAACCUGGACUAGUGUGGCAUCCGAUUUGGAUGUUUCUGAGUGACCUCUGAUCCCUAAUGAUAUGCAGGCAUCAGUGGGCCUAUAAAUAUGCAUGGAGUGCACCAUUCCCUUUGCAGAGACCACAGCAGCCAACGAGCAAUAUAGUAGCAGCUGGCAAGCUACCGAGCAAGCAUAGCCGCCAUGGCCUCUGCUUCUUUCCUUGGGUUGUUGGUGCUCGUGGCGCUGGCCUCUGGGGCGUCGGCGCAGCUGUCGCCGACGUUCUACGACACGUCGUGCCCCAACGCGCUGUCCACCAUCAGGACCGCCGUGAACGCCGCGGUGGCGCAGGAGGCUCGCAUGGGGGCGUCCCUGCUCAGGCUGCACUUCCACGAUUGCUUUGUCCAAGCAAGUCUCACACGCAUAACCCUUGAUCUUUUCCUUGUCUGUUCUUUAAUUUGACAGUCGAUCAUCCAAAUUUGAGCAGGGCUGCGACGCUUCCGUUCUGCUGAAUGACACGAACGGCGAGCAGAGCGCGGGUCCGAACGUGGGAUCGCUGAGAGGCUUCGGCGUCAUCGACAACAUCAAGGCACAGGUGGAGGCUUUGUGCCCGCAGACCGUCUCCUGCGCCGACAUCCUCACCGUCGCCGCCCGCGACUCCGUCGUAGCGGUGAGAUCAUUAGCACGCGAUGUCUUUCUGUGUGUUGAUUGUUACCCUGAUGCUUCUACUCUGUUGCUGUUGGCUUGUAACUAACUUGUAUGCAGCUCGGCGGGCCUUCGUGGACUGUUCUACUGGGAAGAAGGGACUCUACCAGUUCAUUCCCGAACCAGGCAAAUACCGACCUCCCAGCUCCUCAAUCUAGCCUCCGAAAUCUUAUAGAUGCGUUUGGGAAUAAGACCCUCUCCGCAACAGACAUGGUUGCUCUCUCAGGUGCAUGCCCCUAGCUAGAACAGUUCGUGUUAAUUCUUCUCAUCGAUCAGUAGAUACAUUUGAAUCUUUGAUAUGGCAGUGGCAGACACGAGCCCAGGACUCCAAGGUUUCCAUUUGUUUCAAAACUGACGAUGCAGGCGAACCUUUAAUUUGCAGGCGCUCACACUAUCGGACAGGCGCAGUGCACGAACUUCCGGGACCAUAUCACCGAGAGCAACAUCAACCCCGCCUUCGCCGCGUCGCUCAGGACCAGCUGCCCCGCGACAGGCGGCGACACCAACCUGGCGCCGCUGGACGUCACGACGCCCAACACCUUCGACAACGCCUACUACAACAACCUGCUGUCCCAAAGGGGGCUCCUGCACUCGGACCAGGAGCUAUUCAACAACGGCAGCACCGACAGCACGGUCAGGAACUUCGCGUCCAACGCUGCGGCGUUCAGCAGCGCCUUCACGACGGCCAUGGUGAAGAUGGCUAAC
This 3618-nucleotide long non-coding RNA is filed under the name Setaria italica (foxtail millet). RNAcentral describes it as "long non-coding RNA (SITA_LNC001722)". Lineage: Eukaryota; Viridiplantae; Streptophyta; Magnoliopsida; Poales; Poaceae. The record is from RNAcentral.